RNAcentral lists this ribosomal RNA (603 nucleotides) under uncultured bacterium. RNAcentral's name for it is "bacterial SSU rRNA". It matches the Rfam family "Bacterial small subunit ribosomal RNA", at positions 338 to 946 of the family's 1533-position model. The record is from RNAcentral.
CCUACGGGAGCAGCAGUGAGGAAUAUUGGACAAUGGGCGCAAGCCUGAUCCAGCCAUGCCGCGUGCAGGAAGAAGCAUCUAUGGUGUGUAAACUGCUUUUGUACGGGAAGAAACACCUCUACGUGUAGAGGCUUGACGGUACCGUAAGAAUAAGGAUCGGCUAACUCCGUGCCAGCAGCCGCGGUAAUACGGAGGAUCCAAGCGUUAUCCGGAAUCAUUGGGUUUAAAGGGUCCGUAGGCGGUUUGAUAAGUCAGUGGUGAAAGCCCAUCGCUCAACGAUGGAACGGCCAUUGAUACUGUCAGACUUGAAUUACUAGGAAGUAACUAGAAUAUGUAGUGUAGCGGUGAAAUGCUUAGAUAUUACAUGGAAUACCAAUUGCGAAGGCAGGUUACUACUAGUGGAUUGACGCUGAUGGACGAAAGCGUGGGGAGCGAACAGGAUUAGAUACCCUGGUAGUCCACGCCGUAAACGAUGGAUACUAGCUGUUGGGAGCAAUCUCAGUGGCUAAGCGAAAGUGAUAAGUAUCCACCUGGGGAGUACGUUCGCAAGAAUGAAACUUAAUGAAUUGACGNGNGAGAGNGCGAGACGACGACGAGGAGGAG